ACACUGAUAUAUAUCAUGUACACACGUGUGCACACAGACACACUGAUACAUAUCAUGUACACACGUGUGCACACAGAUACACUGAUACAUAUCAUGUACACACGUAUGCACACAGAUACACUGAUAUAUAUCAUGUACACACAUAUGCACACACAGACACACUGAUAUAUAUCAUGUACACACAUAUGUGUGCACACAGACACACUGAUAUAUAUCAUGUACACACGUGUGCACACAGAUACACUGAUACAUAUCAUGUACACACGUAUGCACACAGAUACACUGAUAUAUAUCAUGUACACACGUAUGCACACAGAUACACUGAUAUAUAUCAUGUACACACAUAUGUACACACAGACACACUGAUAUAUAUCAUGUACACACGUAUGCACACACAGACACACUGAUACAUAUCAUGUACACACGUGUGCACACAGAUACACUGAUACAUAUCAUGUACACACGUAUGCACACAGAUACACUGAUAUAUAUCAUGUACACACGUAUGCACACAGAUACACUGAUAUAUAUCAUGUACACACAUAUGUGCACACAGAUACACUGAUAUAUAUCAUGUACACACAUAUGUACACACAGACACACUGAUAUAUAUCAUGUACACACGUAUGCACACACAGAUACACUGAUACAUAUCAUGUACACACGUGUGCACACAGAUACACUGAUACAUAUCAUGUACACACGUAUGCACACAGAUACACUGAUACAUAUCAUGUACACACAUAUGUACACACAGAUACACUGAUAUAUAUCAUGUACACACGUAUGUACACACAGACACACUGAUAUAUAUCAUGUACACACGUAUGUGCACACAGAUACACUGAUAUAUAUCAUGUACACACAUAUGCACACACAGACACACUGAUAUAUAUCAUGUACACACAUAUGCACACAGACACACUGAUAUAUAUCAUGUACACACGUAUGUACACACAGAUACACUGAUAUAUAUCAUGUACACACGUAUGCACACACAGACACACUGAUAUAUAUCAUGUACACACGUAUGUGCACACAGACACACUGAUAUAUAUCAUGUACACACGUAUGCACACACAGACACACUGAUAUAUAUCAUGUACACACAUAUGCACACACAGAUACACUGAUAUAUAUCAUGUACACACAUAUGUGCACACAGACACACUGAUAUGUAUCAUGUACACACGUAUGCACACACAGAUACACUGAUACAUAUAUACACACUGCUUUAGAUACUAUGCAUACAUAUACACACAUCAUAUAUGGUGAUAUUUAUACACACAUAUAUGUGUACACACAUGUGUAUACAUAGAUAUAUAUCAUGCAGACACAUAUACACAUGCACGUACUGGUAUGUAUCGUAUGCACACGUAUAUACACACACUGAUAUAUAUCAUACAUGCACACUGAUAUAGAUCAUAGAUGCUCAUAUUCAUAUAUAUACAUACAUGUUUAUAUAUGUGUACACAUUGCAGGCACAC
RNAcentral lists this long non-coding RNA (1487 nucleotides) under Equus asinus (donkey). RNAcentral's name for it is "lncRNA (ENSEASG00005025895.1)". The record is from RNAcentral. Lineage: Eukaryota; Metazoa; Chordata; Mammalia; Perissodactyla; Equidae.